UCGAUAUAAAACACCCUGUUCCAUUAGA
RNAcentral lists this small RNA (28 nucleotides) under Bombyx mori (domestic silkworm). RNAcentral describes it as "ovarian small RNA-28435". The record is from RNAcentral. Lineage: Eukaryota; Metazoa; Arthropoda; Insecta; Lepidoptera; Bombycidae.